Molecule: ribosomal RNA, 253 nt
Filed under: uncultured bacterium
Lineage: Bacteria
Description: partial 16S ribosomal RNA
Rfam family: Bacterial small subunit ribosomal RNA
Source: RNAcentral
UACGUAGGUGACAAGCGUUGUCCGGAUUUACUGGGCGUAAAGAGCGCGCAGGCGGUCAGAUAAGUCGAAUGUGAAAGCCCCCGGCUCAACUGGGGAGGGUCAUUCGAUACUGUUCGACUCGAAGGCAGGAGAGGGAAGUGGAAUUCCCGGUGUAGUGGUGAAAUGCGUAGAUAUCGGGAGGAACACCGGUGGCGAAGGCGGUUCUCUGGGCCUGUGCUGACGCUGAGGAGCGAAAGCGUGGGGAGCGAACAGG